CCGCUCGGGGAUGCUGAGAUCAUCUCCCACGUCAUAGCCGGCCUCGACAUCGACUACAACCCCGUGAUCUCGGCCUUGGCCGCGCUGGUCGAACCGGUUACGUUCGAGGAACUCUACAUCCAACUUCUGAGCUUCGACG
Molecule: non-coding RNA, 139 nt
Organism: Hordeum vulgare subsp. vulgare (domesticated barley)
Lineage: Eukaryota; Viridiplantae; Streptophyta; Magnoliopsida; Poales; Poaceae
Source: Rfam